GAUGAACGCUGGCGGCGUGCCUAAUACAUGCAAGUCGAGCGAACAGACGAGGAGCUUGCUCCUUUGACGUUAGCGGCGGACGGGUGAGUAACACGUAGGUAACCUACCUAUAAGACUGGGAUAACUUCGGGAAACCGGAGCUAUACCGGAUAAUAUUUUGAACCGCAUGGGUCGAUAGGUAAAGAUGGCUUUGCUAUCACUUAUAGAUGGACCUGCGCCGUAUUAGCUAGUUGGUAAGGUAACGGCUUACCAAGGCAACGAUACGUAGCCGACCUGAGAGGGUGAUCGGCCACACUGGAACUGAGACACGGUCCAGACUCCUACGGGAGGCAGCAGUAGGGAAUCUUCCGCAAUGGGCGAAAGCCUGACGGAGCAACGCCGCGUGAGUGAUGAAGGUCUUCGGAUCGUAAAACUCUGUUAUUAGGGAAGAACAAACGUGUAAGUAACUGUGCACGUCUUGACGGUACCUAAUCAGAAAGCCACGGCUAACUACGUG
Molecule: ribosomal RNA, 496 nt
Filed under: uncultured bacterium
Lineage: Bacteria
Description: partial 16S ribosomal RNA
Rfam family: Bacterial small subunit ribosomal RNA
Source: RNAcentral